GGGUUGUGAGGUUAAGCGACUAAGCGUACACGGUGGAUGCCCUGGCAGUCAGAGGCGAUGAAGGGCGUGCUAAUCUGCGAUAAGCGCCGGUAAGGUGAUAUGAACCGUUAUAACCGGCGAUACCCGAAUGGGGAAACCCAGUGUGACUCGUCACACUAUCAUUAACUGAAUCCAUAGGUUAAUGAGGCGAACCGGGGGAACUGAAACAUCUAAGUACCCCGAGGAAAAGAAAUCAACCGAGAUUCCCCCAGUAGCGGCGAGCGAACGGGGAGGAGCCCAGAGCCUGAAUCAGCAUGUGUGUUAGUGGAAGCGUCUGGAAAGGCGCGCGAUACAGGGUGACAGCCCCGUACACAAAAGCGCAUGUGCUGUGAGCUCGAUGAGUAGGGCGGGACACGUGGUAUCCUGUCUGAAUAUGGGGGGACCAUCCUCCAAGGCUAAAUACUCCUGACUGACCGAUAGUGAACCAGUACCGUGAGGGAAAGGCGAAAAGAACCCCGGCGAGGGGAGUGAAAAAGAACCUGAAACCGUGUACGUACAAGCAGUGGGAGCACCCUUCGGGGUGUGACUGCGUACCUUUUGUAUAAUGGGUCAGCGACUUAUAUUCUGUAGCAAGGUU
Molecule: ribosomal RNA, 616 nt
Filed under: Salmonella enterica subsp. enterica serovar Wilhelmsburg
Lineage: Bacteria; Pseudomonadati; Pseudomonadota; Gammaproteobacteria; Enterobacterales; Enterobacteriaceae
Description: partial 23S ribosomal RNA
Rfam family: Bacterial large subunit ribosomal RNA
Source: RNAcentral